UACGUAGGGGGCAAGCGUUGUCCGGAAUUAUUGGGCGUAAAGGGCACGCAGGCGGUUUCGUCAGUCCGAUGUGACAGGCCACGGCUCAACCGUGGAAGGCCAUUGGAAACUGCGAAACUUGAGGACAGAAGAGGAGAGUGGAAUUCCACGUGUAGCGGUGAAAUGCGUAGAUAUGUGGAGGAACACCAGUGGCGAAGGCGACUCUCUGGUCUGUACCUGACGCUGAGGUGCGAAAGCAUGGGGAGCAAACAGG
This 253-nucleotide non-coding RNA is filed under the name uncultured bacterium. RNAcentral describes it as "partial 16S ribosomal RNA". It matches the Rfam family "Bacterial small subunit ribosomal RNA", at positions 524 to 776 of the family's 1533-position model. RNAcentral also lists the same sequence under 1 other name. The record is from RNAcentral.